AGUGAACGCUGGCGGUAGGCCUAACACAUGCAAGUCGAACGGCAGCACAGUAAGAGCUUGCUCUUACGGGUGGCGAGUGGCGGACGGGUGAGGAAUACAUCGGAAUCUACUUUUUCGUGGGGGAUAACGUAGGGAAACUUACGCUAAUACCGCAUACGACCUACGGGUGAAAGCAGGGGAUCUUCGGACCUUGCGCGAUUGAAUGAGCCGAUGUCGGAUUAGCUAGUUGGCGGGGUAAAGGCCCACCAAGGCGACGAUCCGUAGCUGGUCUGAGAGGAUGAUCAGCCACACUGGAACUGAGACACGGUCCAGACCCCUACGGGAGGCAGCAGGGGGGAAUAUUGGAAAAUGGGCGAAAGCCUGACCCAGCCAUCCCGGGUGGGUGAAGAAGGCCUGCGGGUUGUAAAGCCCUUUUGUUGGGAAAAAAAAGCAGCAGGUUAAUACCCCGCUGUUCUGACGGUACCCAAAGAAUAAGCACCGGCUAACUUCGU
This 491-nucleotide ribosomal RNA is filed under the name uncultured bacterium. Its description in RNAcentral is "partial 16S ribosomal RNA". It matches the Rfam family "Bacterial small subunit ribosomal RNA", at positions 29 to 506 of the family's 1533-position model. The record is from RNAcentral.